GGACCCGCACAAGCGGUGGAUUAUGUGGAUUAAUUCGAUGCAACGCGAAAAACCUUACCUACCCUUGACAUGUCCUGAAGCCUGGUGAGAGCCGGGUGUGCCCGAAAGGGAACGGGAACACAGGUGCUGCAUGGCUGUCGUCAGCUCGUGUCGUGAGAUGUUGGGUUAAGUCCCGCAACGAGCGCAACCCUUGUCAUUAGUUGCUACAUUCAGUUGGGCACUCUAAUGAGACUGCCGGUGACAAACCGGAGGAAGGUGGGGAUGACGUCAAGUCCUCAUGGCCCUUAUGGGUAGGGCUUCACACGUAAUACAAUGGCGCGUACAGAGGGCUGCUAAGCCGCGAGGUAGAGCCAAUCCCUUAAAGCGCGUCGUAGUCCGGAUUGCAGUCUGCAACUCGACUGCAUGAAGUCGGAAUCGCUAGUAAUCGCGGAUCAGCAUGUCGCGGUGAAUACGUUCCCGGGUCUU
This 465-nucleotide ribosomal RNA is filed under the name uncultured bacterium. RNAcentral describes it as "bacterial SSU rRNA". It matches the Rfam family "Bacterial small subunit ribosomal RNA", at positions 917 to 1382 of the family's 1533-position model. The record is from RNAcentral.